GAACCUGAGUUGGAACGUGAGCAGGAACCACAAGAUAUUAUGGAAAGUGAACCUGCUCAAAUUACACAAGUCAUUCGUAGAUCUGGUAGGACACGCCAAGAGCCUGAGAGAUAUUAUGGAUAUCUUGUGACUCAAAACGGCGAUGUGAUGCUCAUAGAUCAAGAUGAGCCUGCUUACUACCAAGAAGCUAUGAAUGGACCAGAUUCUGAGAAAUGGCUUGAAGCCAUGAAAUCUGAG
RNAcentral lists this long non-coding RNA (237 nucleotides) under Panax ginseng (ginseng). RNAcentral's name for it is "long non-coding RNA (PGIN_LNC002640)". The record is from RNAcentral. Lineage: Eukaryota; Viridiplantae; Streptophyta; Magnoliopsida; Apiales; Araliaceae.